CCUACGGGAGGCUGCAGUCGAGAAUCAUUCACAAUGGGGGAAACCCUGAUGGUGCGACGCCGCGUGGGGGAAUGAAGGUCUUCGGAUUGUAAACCCCUGUCAUGUGGGAGCAAAUUAAAAAGAUAGUACCACAAGAGGAAGAGACGGCUAACUCGGUGCCAGCAGCCGCGGUAAUACAGAGGUCUCAAGCGUUGUUCGGAAUCACUGGGCGUAAAGUGUGCGUAGGCGGUUUCGUAAGUCGGUUGUGAAAGGCGCGGGCUCAACCCGCGGACGGCACAUGAUACUGCGAGACUAGAGUAAAGGAGGGGGAACCGGAAUUCGCGGUGUAGCAGUGAAAUGCGUAGAUAUCGACAGGAACACGCGUGGCGAAGGCGGGUUCCUGGACAGUAACUGACGCUGAGGCACGAAGGCCAGGGGAGCGAAAGGGAUUAGAUACCCUAGUAGUC
RNAcentral lists this ribosomal RNA (446 nucleotides) under uncultured bacterium. Its description in RNAcentral is "partial 16S ribosomal RNA". It matches the Rfam family "Bacterial small subunit ribosomal RNA", at positions 338 to 795 of the family's 1533-position model. The record is from RNAcentral.